RNAcentral lists this ribosomal RNA (253 nucleotides) under uncultured bacterium. RNAcentral describes it as "partial 16S ribosomal RNA". It matches the Rfam family "Bacterial small subunit ribosomal RNA", at positions 524 to 776 of the family's 1533-position model. The record is from RNAcentral.
UACGUAGGGGGCAAGCGUUAUCCGGAUUUACUGGGUGUAAAGGGAGCGUAGACGGCGAUGCAAGUCUGAAGUGAAGGCCCGGGGCUCAACCCCGGGACUGCUUUGGAAACUGUAUGGCUGGAGUGCUGGAGAGGCAAGCGGAAUUCCUAGUGUAGCGGUGAAAUGCGUAGAUAUUAGGAAGAACACCAGUGGCGAAGGCGGCUUGCUGGACAGUAACUGACGUUGAGGCUCGAAAGCGUGGGGAGCAAACAGG